RNAcentral lists this ribosomal RNA (465 nucleotides) under uncultured bacterium. RNAcentral's name for it is "partial 16S ribosomal RNA". It matches the Rfam family "Bacterial small subunit ribosomal RNA", at positions 28 to 507 of the family's 1533-position model. The record is from RNAcentral.
GACGAACGCUGGCGGCGUGCUUAACACAUGCAAGUCGUACGGUAAGGCCCUUUCGGGGGUACACGAGUGGCGAACGGGUGAGUAACACGUGAGUAACCUGCCCACAACUUUGGGAUAACGCUAGGAAACUGGUGCUAAUACUGGAUAUGUGCUCCUGCUGCAUGGUGGGGGUUGGAAAGCUCCGGCGGUUGUGGAUGGACUCGCGGCCUAUCAGCUUGUUGGUGGGGUAGUGGCCUACCAAGGCGGCGACGGGUAGCCGGCCUGAGAGGGUGACCGGCCACAUUGGGACUGAGAUACGGCCCAGACUCCUACGGGAGGCAGAAGUGGGGAAGAUUGCACAAUGGGCGCAAGCCUGAUGCAGCAACGCCGCGUGCGGGAUGACGGCCUUCGGGUUGUAAACCGCUUUCAGCAGGGACGAAGCUUUUUGUGACGGUACCUGCAGAAGAAGCACCGGCUAACUACGUG